RNAcentral lists this ribosomal RNA (253 nucleotides) under uncultured bacterium. RNAcentral's name for it is "partial 16S ribosomal RNA". It matches the Rfam family "Bacterial small subunit ribosomal RNA", at positions 524 to 776 of the family's 1533-position model. The record is from RNAcentral.
UACGUAGGUGGCAAGCGUUGUCCGGAUUUACUGGGCGUAAAGAGCGCGCAGGCGGUCGUUCAAGUCGCGUGUGAAAGCCCCCGGCUCAACUGGGGAGGGUCACGCGAUACUGAUCGACUCGAAGGCAGGAGAGGGUAGUGGAAUUCCCGGUGUAGUGGUGAAAUGCGUAGAUAUCUGGAGGAACACCGGUGGCGAAGGCGGCGUUCUGGACUGCAACUGACACUGAGGAACGAAAGCCAGGGGAGCAAACGGG